This 1404-nucleotide ribosomal RNA is filed under the name uncultured bacterium. RNAcentral's name for it is "bacterial SSU rRNA". It matches the Rfam family "Bacterial small subunit ribosomal RNA", at positions 8 to 1382 of the family's 1533-position model. The record is from RNAcentral.
AGAGUUUGAUCCUGGCUCAGGAUGAACGCUGGCGGCGUGCCUAAUACAUGCAAGUCGAACGAAACUUCUUUAUCACCGAGUGCUUGCACUCACCGAUAAAGAGUUGAGUGGCGAACGGGUGAGUAACACGUGGGCAACCUGCCCAAAAGAGGGGGAUAACACUUGGAAACAGGUGCUAAUACCGCAUAACCAUAGUUACCGCAUGGUAACUAUGUAAAAGGUGGAUAUGCUACCGCUUUUGGAUGGGCCCGCGGCGCAUUAGCUAGUUGGUGAGGUAAAGGCUUACCAAGGCAAUGAUGCGUAGCCGAACUGAGAGGUUGAUCGGCCACAUUGGGACUGAGACACGGCCCAAACUCCUGCGGGAGGCAGCAGUAGGGAAUCUUCCACAAUGGGCGAAAGCCUGAUGGAGCAACGCCGCGUGGGUGAAGAAGGUCUUCGGAUCGUAAAACCCUGUUGUUAGAGAAGAAAGUGCGUGAGAGUAACUGUUCACGUUUCGACGGUAUCUAACCAGAAAGCCACGGCUAACUACGUGCCAGCAGCCGCGGUAAUACGUAGGUGGCAAGCGUUAUCCGGAUUUAUUGGGCGUAAAGGGAACGCAGGCGGUCUUUUAAGUCUGAUGUGAAAGCCUUCGGCUUAACCGGAGUAGUGCAUUGGAAACUGGGAGGCUUGAGUGCAGAAGAGGAGAGUGGAACUCCAUGUGUAGCGGUGAAAUGCGUAGAUAUAUGGAAGAACACCAGUGGCGAAAGCGGCUCUCUGGUCUGUAACUGACGCUGAGGUUCGAAAGCGUGGGUAGCAAACAGGAUUAGAUACCCUGGUAGUCCACGCCGUAAACGAUGAAUGCUAAGUGUUGGAGGGUUUCCGCCCUUCAGUGCUGCAGCUAACGCAAUAAGCAUUCCGCCUGGGGAGUACGACCGCAAGGUUGAAACUCAAAGGAAUUGACGGGGGCCCGCACAAGCAGUGGAUUAUGUGGUUUAAUUCGACGCAACGCGAAGAACCUUACCAGGAUUUGACAUCCAACUAACGAAGUAGAGAUACAUUAGGUGCCCUUCGGGGAAAGUUGAGACAGGUGGUGCAUGGUUGUCGUCAGCUCGUGUCGUGAGAUGUUGGGUUAAGUCCCGCAACGAGCGCAACCCCUAUUGUUAGUUGCUACGCAAGAGCACUCUAGCGAGACUGCCGUUGACAAAACGGAGGAAGGCGGGGACGACGUCAAAUCAUCAUGCCCCUUAUGUCCUGGGCUACACACGUAAUACAAUGGCGGUCAACAGAGGGAAGCAAGACUGUGAAGUGGAGCAAACCCCCAAAAGCCGUCUCAGUUCGGAUUGCAGGCUGCAACUCGCCUGCAUGAAGCUGGAAUUGCUAGUAAUCGCAGAUCAGCAUGCCGCGGUGAAUACGUUCCCGGGCCUU